Molecule: long non-coding RNA, 1500 nt
Organism: Xyrauchen texanus (razorback sucker)
Lineage: Eukaryota; Metazoa; Chordata; Actinopteri; Cypriniformes; Catostomidae
Exons: 3
Source: RefSeq, a predicted model, not a curated record
ACAACAAGGCCACGAUUCAGUGUAAAUGAACUGUAAAUGUUGUAUACAUUGAAGCCUUUGUAUUCGCCACUCUGUGAACUUCACAAGUCCUCUCCACCCGAGUCGCUCUUGUUCGCUCUUAACGCCACGACACACACAUAUCCAACAAUACUGAGUGUGGGAACAGACUCGCUGCACGCCCAAACCGUUUCCCAGCCUCUCCCGUCCCGUCCGUCCCCCUACCCAAACCUUAUUAGGAAACUAGGAGCAACAUGGAUAAUUAUAAAACUCCUGAUACGAUGAGUUCAAAACACAGACUGACACAAAGAGACAUCUGGAGGAGGAAGUGGCUUCUUAAAUGUCAGGCCGGUUUCAUAUUUCCACACACACUGAAUAUCUCCAAACCUUGUUUACAAAUGAAUAUAGUGUGUAUUAUAUAAACAUAUGAUGUAUAUUUAAUGUAAGUAGUCUUGAUCAAAAUGAGGCCUUGUGUCUUUAAUCUAGUACGUCUCAGUCACGAUUGAUGUUUGAUGCCGUAAUGAUGACAGUAUUAUGCUCAAAGCAACUCUCUAGUUUAAUAAGUGUUGUUUAAUCACGGAUUAACAGACUAAUCACACUGGUCGAACAUUUUGCUGGCUCCUAGUGGCCGAAGCUAGAAGUGUUAGGAGUGGUGGUGGUGUAGUGGUCUAAGCACAUAACUGGUAAUCUGGUAAUCAGGAGGUCGCUGGUUUGAUCCCCACAGUCACCACCAUUGUGUCCUUGAGUAAGACACUUAACUCCAGGUUGCUCCGGGGGGAUUGUCCCUGUAAUAAGUGCACUGUAUAAUACAUUGGUACUCAGAAGGUUGCUGGUUUGAUCCCCACAGUCACCACCAUUGUGUCCUUGAGUAAGACACUUAACUCCAGGUUGCUCCGGGGGGAUUGUCCCUGUAAUAAGUGCACUGUAUAAUACAUUGGUACUCAGAAGGUUGCUGGUUUGAUCCCCACAGUCACCACCAUUGUGUCCUUGAGUAAGGCACUUAACUCCAGGUUGCUCCGGGGGGAUUGUCCCUGUAAUAAGUGCUCUGUAUAAUACAUUGGUACUCAGAAGGUUGCUGGUUUGAUCCCCACAGUCACCACCAUUGUGUCCUUGAGUAAGGCACUUAACUCCAGGUUGCUCCGGGGGGAUUGUCCCUGUAAUAAGUGCACUGUAUAAUACAUUGGUACUCAGAAGGUUGCUGGUUUGAUCCCCACAGUCACCACCAUUGUGUCCUUGAGUAAGACACUUAACUCCAGGUUGCUCUGGGGGGAUUGUCCCUGUAAUAAGUGCUCUGUAUAAUACAUUGGUACUCAGAAGGUUGCUGGUUUGAUCCCCACAGUCACCACCAUUGUGUCCUUGAGUAAGGCACUUAACUCCAGGUUGCUCCGGGGGGAUUGUCCCUGUAAUAAGUGCUCUGUAUAAUACAUUAGUACUCAGAAGGUUGCUGGUUUGAUCCCCACAGUCACCACCAUUGUGUCCUUGAGUAAGGCACUUAACUCCAGG